AUAGCUCAUCUCUCGUUCGAGUGUCAUAUGCUUGCCUAAGAUCGAUGAAGAAGACGCUUCACUUCUUCAUCGAUUUUAGGCAAGCUUAUGGCACUCGAACGAGAGAUGAGCUAUA
RNAcentral lists this microRNA precursor (115 nucleotides) under Megaselia scalaris. RNAcentral describes it as "microRNA MIR158". Lineage: Eukaryota; Metazoa; Arthropoda; Insecta; Diptera; Phoridae. The record is from RNAcentral.